Molecule: long non-coding RNA, 1490 nt
Organism: Panicum virgatum (switchgrass)
Lineage: Eukaryota; Viridiplantae; Streptophyta; Magnoliopsida; Poales; Poaceae
Exons: 3
Source: RefSeq, a predicted model, not a curated record
CCAACCGGAAAUCUCGCCCCCCUCCCCCUUUCUCUGUCUGCCAAUUUUUGCGCCGCCAAAAACACCGCUCGCCGUCCUCACGACGCCCGCCCUCUCCCACCACCGCGCCUCCCUCCCCGUCCACACCGACGGGCGACGGCUACUCCCCUUUUCUCCCCUCUUUUUUUGCCGCCUCCCCACUCCCGGUUCGCCUCCAUAUUCUGGCUGCGCGGCCGCCCCUCUGUUCCCCAUCCUCCGCCUCAGCCGCCAACCCUCCGCUCCCCAUCCUCGGCGGUCCGAGCAGCUCACCAAGGGCCGUGGGCUCCCGUGAUGCUCCCGAUGCGGAGCCCCUGCUCCCCGCCGCCGCCGCCGCCGCGGAUGCGCAUGCCGCUACUUUGGAGCCGUGGAGAAGCGUGAGCCAUCACCAAUCGCCUCGGAGGAAGCAUGUGCUCUAUGGACUGCCUCUCCUUCGCUCAAGUGCUCAAGUGCAUCUGCCCAUCGAGGCCGCCUGGCCUCUGCGGAGGACCUCGUCAUCGUCGGCCGCCGCCGCGGAAGAUGCCUCCUGCACGCAGGCCCCCGCUGGGAUCGAGCGGCGACGGCCACAGCUGCAAGUAAGCACGUAAGCCUCUUUCACUUUGUUCAACUAAUUAGCUUCUGUGCACGCGGCCACGAUCCAGUUCCAUGGAGCGCGGCGCCAUCCAUCAGGCUGGCAUCGCGGACACUACUCAGUGAUGCUGCGUCUCCGCCACAAGAAGCUGAUCAAGGUGUAGCUCUUCUUAUACCUUACUGAUCUUUGAAUUAAAUCCACCUGUCUUGAUUCGUUUUUGUUUUGGGUUUGUACUGUGCGCCGCCUAGCGUCUCCGUCAAAGGCAAAGAAUGAUGUUAGUGCAAGUCGUACUCCGUACUCUUAGUGCGCAGCAACAAUGACGUGUGUCUGACAUAUAAUCGAUCAGAAGUUAAGGCAAUACCAGGGGAAACACCUCUCUCCUCAAUGCAUGCCUCCAUUCGAUGUUUCAAUUAACUGUUAUUUGAUCAAAUUGGAAGAAUUGGAUUAGAGUAGGCAUAUAGGAGGUUGAUCAGCUAUCAAGGAAUGCCUUAUCUGAUCCAUCAUUCAAGGAACCAAGUAACACGGUGGCAAUAAGUUGGAUAAAGAAGCAAAACCAACUGACCAGUUGGAAAUUGCGUGCUAUCGUCGCCAAUGCAUCAGGGUGAAAAUUAAACUGCUGGUUUGCAUUGUCUUAAGACGGCGUAGUACACAAGAUGUGGAAUUGUCACAAUUAAACUGCUGGUUUGCAUUGUCUUAAGAUGGCGUAGUACACAAGAUGUAGAAUUGUCGGUGUUGUGACAGUAGUUGUAGCCAAGCUUUGCAGCAGCCAAGACCUACAGUUCUGUGCAGAGCUACGCUUGGUUGGACUAACCUGCAAUCUGGUUUCACAAACUUACUCUUAUUUGCUUAAAUCAUGUAAUUGUGCUGCCAUGCGUUUAGAAAGUUUGAUGCGAAGUUCUAGAGC